This is a long non-coding RNA of Mobula hypostoma (lesser devil ray), 474 nucleotides long. RefSeq lists it as uncharacterized. The record is from RefSeq and is a predicted model, not a curated record. The transcript has 3 exons. Lineage: Eukaryota; Metazoa; Chordata; Chondrichthyes; Myliobatiformes; Myliobatidae.
AUCAGUUGGUGCACAAUUCGCAGCGAUUGCGACAGCGUGCUUCUCAACGGUCUGCGUCCUGAUCUAUCUCCUUCCAGGCUGCUGUACCACCUACCUGAUUUUAGCAAUGGAUCCAAGGCAUGUUCUGGAUAAUGGGGGUCAUUAAAGAACGAUGUCGACUAAGGAAAAUUUGGCUUGAUCUAAUUCAAGAUUGCAUCAGAUUGGACAAAGAGAGCGCUGUGUAUUUUCGAUUCCACGUGUUGCGGUCAAGAAAUGCAGAAGAGGCCUGACCUAAAGCAGAGCCGCGGAGACGAUUCAACGGUGAAUAAUAAUUUAAUAAAAGACCACAAAAUAACAAGCCACGAGGGACCACAGCAGCAUUGUAAACAUAAACUAAACAAAACAGGCAACAGGGUAUACUUUAGCCAGGGAGAGUGAAAGCAAGGAGCAACUGGAUGAGUUCGUCUGGUUCAAUAGGUGAACAAGGAUUGUGGU